UACCAAGCGCGAACCAAACACUCUUAGUUACACUCACUUACAUUUAGUUACAACAAUCCGAUUUCAGCAUUUUUAUCAUUACAUACAAACCGAUAUACCGCAGAGUCCUUGAUUAAAUAGAUACCAGUUAUCAACUCAUAAACAAUGGCAGUAGUAAGUGCGUAUUGUCACAUACUAGACGUGUUGAAUUAGCAUUGACUUAUGAAUGAACUGAGAAGUGGUUAGUGUCUGGUGUAAAGUAUCAAGAUGACCAGGUCCAGCUAUAGGCCUCUUGUGCCUCGGUCGUCGAACAAUUCGCUGGAGACCCGGGAAAUUGGGACGACGUCACCGCCUGGUGAGCCUCUGGUCCGCGCACCAGUGGGGAAGCCAAGAUGUCCGCCAGCUAUAUCGCGGUUGAGGGUGGAGAAAGUGGAAGGCGGCUUGGCGGUGGCCGGAGUUGUCGUAGCAGCCAACUGCCAGAUCAUAUUGCCGAUAUUCGGAUUCCUGUUUAUGCUUGUUGGGUGUGUUCUUACUGCGGCAUCGUACCGAGGUUGUGGUGAAAACGAAGAACCUGACCACUAUGCGGCUAGGAUCGCCUUCACAGGAAACUCGCGGGUGCUUGGCCCCGUGUGCAUCGUCGCUGGUGCUCUUAUGACAUUAGCUGGCAUAGUGCUGUGCAUGCUGAUGCGCUCGGCGCAGCGCCGCCAGCGCCGGCUCGCCUUCCACUGCCCCAUCCACGGCGACUUCUACCCGCUCAGCCCGCAGAUCACCAGGAAAUAUUCACGUAGCCCAGGAGGCCUCUGGCGCAGGCUGCGCGGCUGGCUGGGCAUGAUCGAAGAAGGGGAAGCGCCGCGCUGUCCGCGCUCCACGGAGCCCGCGUCGCCGGCGCGCGCCGACGCGCCGUGCCCGCCGCCCUUACCUUUCCUAGUGCCUAGCGAUUCUGUUGUAGGAAUGGCGUCAGUUCUGGGAGCGCCGCUAAGUCCUGAACAGACAUUCGGCUCAAUCAAAUCACUAGCGAUCUCUCGAGAGGUCGCCAGUUUCCCCUUGUCUCGAUCUCCCACUCCACCACCAAUGAGUUACCCACCAUUCAAGGAAGAGUCCAAAGUGGAGUGCAUACCCAACUCAGUGCCCCCGCAUGCCGACUGCGGGACAACGACCUUCAACUACCGAGUAGUAGAGUGCAAACUGACCACCACAGACGAACUCUCCCGAAGCACGCCGCUCUCCGCGCCGUGCGACAGACAGAGACCUGCCACAGUGUGUAUAUCCAUACCUAACGAAGGCAAAGGCUAGAGAUACGAAAAUAUUUAAACAUAGAUUUAAAAAAAAUCAGUGUUCAAAUUUGGAAUGGCUGUUCGUAUUAUGAACCGGAAACAUUUAUAACACGCCACCCGAAUACAAGCGUCCGCUGGUAAUAAAACUUGUAGAAGUUGUACUCUAUCUAUUGACGGAAAGAAGCUACUAUUUAACUUAUGUAAUAUAGCCUUCGUCAUUUCCCUGCUUUUAACUGACUUCCAAAAAGGAGGUGGAUCUCAAUUCGGCCCGUUUUUCCCAACCGAUUUUCUCGACCGAUAUGCAAAAUUCUUUUUACCUAAGCAGGUAUAUACAAAAUAUUACGUUGAUUGGUACUCCGUUUUUGCGUGAAAAAGAUUUGAACCCUAAAGCAUUUAUAGCAUAUUUUAUACAUUUUGUAUAUCCAAAAACACCGCGCGUAACUUUGGUGUCAGAUCGGGUGGUGUGUUAAAGAUGUACUGUAUCUAUAAUAUUAUAGUGUUAACAUAAAACCAAUUUGGUUGACGUCAAACCUUGGUCAGAUGGUUGGUACUUGGUAGCGAUUUUAGUAUAGGUAUUUAUACUCUAUAUCCACGGAGAGAAGUAAGAAUAGAGCUCUCUCUCUCACACAAAUAUGACAAAAAACUCAAUAAACGAACCGCAACGUUCGUUCGUACUCAUCCGAUCCGGUCGUUUUGACUGAUCGUCGCAGCGGCAAAACGUCUGUCAAAUAACUCGGAUCAGUCUUUUUUCCCGAAUCAGUCAUAAUGUGAACAGCUCCAUACAAAUUACUGACCGAGAAAAAAGACUAGGUAAUCGGAUAAGUGGGAACGGGCAAUAAGUUUUCCAUACUGCUCUAUUAGGGAACUCUCUCUAUCAAAAAACGUUUGAAAUUCAAUUCGAAAACAUAAGCUCGUUUGUGAUUGGUUGGUGACGCAUAAUUAUAAACGACCACUGAGAUUUUUGUCUUUAUUAUUUGUAUUGGAGACAGCCCUAUACUAAAUUCUCUCCGUGGAUAUAGUAAAGUAGAGAAACAACAAGAACAAGAAA
This is an RNA transcript of Maniola jurtina (meadow brown), 2301 nucleotides long. RefSeq lists it as uncharacterized. The transcript has 8 exons. Lineage: Eukaryota; Metazoa; Arthropoda; Insecta; Lepidoptera; Nymphalidae. The record is from RefSeq and is a predicted model, not a curated record.